Long non-coding RNA from Suricata suricatta (meerkat), 2149 nucleotides. RefSeq lists it as uncharacterized. The record is from RefSeq and is a predicted model, not a curated record. NCBI's taxonomy places the organism in Eukaryota, Metazoa, Chordata, Mammalia, Carnivora, Herpestidae. The transcript is spliced from 2 exons.
UCCAGCGGGGCGACCUCAACUCGGAACACACAGUCCCUGGGGCACCCGGUGGGACCGGCACUUGCCAACCAUCCUGUUGGCUACAUUUGUAAAAAGGUGACAAAAAACAGCCCAAAGUAAUCGAAGAAUACCUUUUAUUCAACACACUGGAUACACACGUGGCCCACAUUUAAGUGUUAUCAGUGAAGUGUUUUAGCGGCCAGAAGACCUGUGCCUGGGCGCACAGCAGGCCUCAGUGUCCCCAGUGCCCCGCCCAGGCCAGCGCUCUGAGGGCUAUGCGGGUGUGGCCAGGGCUUCGUGGGCAAAGCCAGGACCUGCUCCUGCCAGGCUGCCCUUUAGCUACCCCGGAGGGCAGCCCCCCACCUGCAGGUAGUGACAGGAAUCUGGGCCCUUUCCAAGGAAAGCAUCCCCUCUAGUAACGAUUGGGGGAACCCUGCUUACAACGUCCACCAGCCUCACCACCAAAGCCUUUGACUUGGAAACCAAUGUCUGAUUCCAUUCAGCAGAGGUAGUGGGCAGAAUCGUGCCCACCCAAAAGUGAAUUAGUGUGCUUGCAGGAGGAGACCCCGGAGCACGUGCUGUCCCCCACAACCUCCAGCCCCCAGCAGAAAACAGAGGAGAGGUCAUGUGAGCACAGAGGAGGUGGCUGUGGACAAGCCAGGAAGAAGCCAGAGCGCUUGGGGAUUUGGCCUGAGACUUUGGGCAUCCGGAACCCUGAGGAUGCAUUUCUGCAGGAAGCCUCCUGCUGGUAGCGAGGCAUCUUGUUGCGGAGCCUACCUGACUGACACAGCAUCUCUGGUCUGCCUUUUCACAAAAUCUGCACGUGCCAAGGAUGCUCCUCAUAGAAAGCACAUGUGGAGACGUCGCUGAUGCCUGGAACCUGCCGACUAAGAAGUGGCACUGCCUGUUGGCCUGUGCACAGGCUGCUUCUCGCCACACCUCCACCCUCCUGCAUUCGCGUGCGCGCCCAGUCACCCCGAGGCUGUGCCUGAGUCACAGAACACCCAGCCCAAGCCCUGGCGCGCUCUCCACCCAGCACCCACCCUCCUGGCUCCCUCGCCUGACCCCUCCCCCUGACUCCAAGCCCCCAGCAGGCCUUCCCACCUGGUGGACAGGCCUACACCCCACCUUCAAGUAAGAAGGAUUUGCAGUCUCUCGUCCACCCAGCACCCCCACCCCGGACCGUCAGCUCACACGCUCCGGUGUCCCCCGCCCCCCCGCACCCUGCCGUCUCUACUCCUUUGCUGCAGCUGCUUCUCCUAGGAGCUGACGGGUCCGCCUGAGCGCCCUCACUGUCGUGCCCACACCCUGACGGGGCCCUCCUCACGGUCAGCGCCGGCCUCCCACUGCAGCAGCCAGUCCCCACCCUGGGCUCCCGCCCAGCUGAUUGCCUCUCAGAAAUAGGGUCUACCCUGUGACCAUGACAUUUGCUGUCCUGGUCCUGGUCCUCCGCCUCUUUUGCUUGCUCCUCCUCGUACCUACCUGAAGCCCUGGGGUCCCAGGCUUGGUCCUGGCCCCUCCUUCCCGGGUGCACACUCCCGUCUGGUCCAUCUCCCGAGGCCAUCACUUCCCACGUGUCUGCGCUGCACGGGGAGCGCUAUCUCAAACCCCUCGGAUGGCGACAGAUUCCAGACUCACCCUCCCUCCUGAGGCUCACACUCCGAAGUGCCCACUUACUGAUGCACAGAGCCCACGGCCACCGCGGGUCCUUGGCAGCCUUCUUUGUCUCUGUGCCCCGCAGGCAACGUCACUGGCUUCUGCCGGCCCGUCGGCCUCUCAGAUGCUCCUUCCUCCUUCAGACCCCCUGGCCCGCCCACCAAACACCAUACACACCGUCACAUCAGCUUUCCCUUUCCCUCUGCCUGCUGAACCCUUUCCAGGCACACAGGUGCAGCCUGCCACAGAGAAAGAACACAUAUGUGCCACGUGAAUCCAUAACAUGUCAGCACGUCAGCGCGCCCGGAUCCCGGGCUGCCUGACUCUUGGGAGACGCUGAACACUAGCAUCACCAGUGUUAAAAGCCACGUUCAUGAAAUCCUGGGCAAAAAGGAGGCUUACUUUUUCUUGUAUGCCCUUCUUUACCUGUGGAAUGCUGUCUCAUGUCUGUAUGUUUCCUUUGCCAAAGUAACAAUAUCAUUAUUCAACUUUA